GCCCAGCACGGUGGCGCAUGCCUGUGGUCCCAGCUACUUGAGAGGUUGAGGUGGGAGGAUCGCUUGAGCCCAGGAAUUCUGGGCUGUAGUUCGCUAUGCCGAUAGGGUGUCCGCACGAAGUUCAGCAUCAAUACGGUGACCUCCCGGGAUCAGGGGACCAUCUGGUUGCCUAAGGAGGGGUGAAGCAGCCCAGGUCGGAAACUGAGCAGGGCUGUCAAAACUCCCGUGCUGAUCAGUAGUGGGAUCGCGCCUGUGAAUAGCCACUGCACUCCAGCCUGAGCAACAUAGGGAGACCCCGUGUCUA
Molecule: unclassified non-coding RNA, 304 nt
Organism: Callithrix jacchus (white-tufted-ear marmoset)
Lineage: Eukaryota; Metazoa; Chordata; Mammalia; Primates; Cebidae
Rfam family: Metazoan signal recognition particle RNA
About the family: The signal recognition particle (SRP) is a universally conserved ribonucleoprotein. It is involved in the co-translational targeting of proteins to membranes. The eukaryotic SRP consists of a 300-nucleotide 7S RNA and six proteins: SRPs 72, 68, 54, 19, 14, and 9.
Source: Ensembl